CCAAUAGCGUAUAUUAAAGUUGUUGCAGUUAAAAAGCUCGUAGUUGAAUUUCGGGAUCAGUAGAUCAGUCGUGCCUAUGGUAUGUACUGGUCUAACUGAUUCCUCCUUCUUGACGAACUGUAAUGUCAUUAAUUUGGUGUUGCAGGGAAUCAGGACUGUUACUUUGAAAAAUUAGAGUGUUUAAAGCAGGCUAAAGCUUGAAUACAUUAGCAUGGAAUAAUGAAAUAGGACGUUUGAUCCUAUUUUGUUGGUUUCUAGGAUCGACGUAAUGAUUAAUAGGGAUAGUUUGGGGCAUUAGUCUUCAAGUGUCAGAGGUGAAAUUCUUUGAUUUAUUGAAGACUAACUACUGCGAAAGCAUUUGCCAAGGAUGUUUUCAUUAAUCAAGAACGAAAGUUAGGGGAUCGAAGACGAUCAGAUACCGUCGUAGUCUUAACCAUAAACUAUGCCGACUAGGGAUCGGAUGAUGUUAAUUUUUUAAUGACUCAUUCGGCGCCUUACG
This 499-nucleotide ribosomal RNA is filed under the name uncultured Glomeromycotina. RNAcentral's name for it is "partial small subunit ribosomal RNA". It matches the Rfam family "Eukaryotic small subunit ribosomal RNA", at positions 591 to 1092 of the family's 1831-position model. The record is from RNAcentral. Lineage: Eukaryota; Fungi; Glomeromycota.